Molecule: long non-coding RNA, 765 nt
Filed under: Monodelphis domestica (gray short-tailed opossum)
Lineage: Eukaryota; Metazoa; Chordata; Mammalia; Didelphimorphia; Didelphidae
Description: lncRNA (ENSMODG00000050368.1)
Source: RNAcentral
CCCAAGACCUUCACUAACUCAUUUGAAAUUGGUUUAAGCUGUUUCUCUAUUCACUGCUGCCAUGAGUUGCUAGUAUUAUAACCUAAUAAAUUUUUGUUGUUGUUCAGUCAUUUCAGUCAUAUACAACUUUUUGUGAUGUCAUUUGGGGUUUUCUUGAGCAGAGAUACCAGGAUGAUUUCCCAUUUCAUUCUCUUGCUUAUUUUACAGAUGAGGAGGCAAAACUGAGGCAAUCAGGAUUAGGUGACCUGCCCAGAAACACAAAACUAAUACAGCAGGAACUAAGGCUGAUGCUACAUGAAGCUCUCUGUCAAGGAUCUCCAAACUGAAUGACAAAAUCUCUCAGGGAUAAUAUGCAUUCAGCAACCUGGAAGUAAGUUGCUGUUGAGAGAAAGAAAAAAGAAAGACAAGAAGCAAAAGAAAGAACACAAAAAGAAAGGAAGGGAGCCAUGAAGAAAAGAAGGAUGUAAGGUACUAAGGAAAACAAAUGAGUAUAAUCAGAAACACCCCUCCCUUCCCUAUUGGCUCUGGCUAAUGUGCACCUUAUGAGACAUACCUGAAAAAAGCCCCUUCUGAGGAUACAUUUGAACUGGCUCCUUUCCUCAGAUGGUGCUUAGGGACUUGGCACUCUGGAACAAUGGAAAAAAUACUAGGUGAUCCUUUUGUCCCUAUGAUUAUAACAAAAGGAGGUAAAUCCUUUGGAAAGGAUUGGCAACAGAUAGUUACCCAUUCAAUAAACUUGAAAAAGGAGUGACUUUGCCUUCUAGA